Molecule: transfer RNA, 75 nt
Filed under: Acidobacteriota bacterium
Lineage: Bacteria; Pseudomonadati; Acidobacteriota
Also listed under: 2 other names
Description: Acidobacteria bacterium (soil metagenome) tRNA-His
Rfam family: tRNA
About the family: Transfer RNA (tRNA) molecules are approximately 80 nucleotides in length.
Source: RNAcentral
GUGGGUGUAGCUCAAAGGUAGAGCACCGGACUGUGGCUCCGGACGCUGCGGGUUCGAGUCCCGUCAUCCACCCCA